UGGCAUCAGUCGGAAGUAUGAUCCAUGCACACAGCAGCACUCAGUUGUGUACUACAAUCUACCUGAGGUUCAACAAGCACUUCAUGUUUACGUUGAUAAUUCAACAUUUAAAUGGGCAACCUGUAGGUAUAGCUCUUUCUGAAGAAAUAUUCAGAUACCAUUAUGAACACUGCAUCCUUAGAUUGCGAAGAUAACUCGUACUAAUGAAAGAAUUCCAUCGAUUCUUGAUCAAGGUUACUAUAUACAGAACAUGCUAGACUAAAUUAAUAGAGAGACAUGCUAAUAUGAAAUCGUGCAACGAUCGAGAAGGAGUUUUGUGUAAAGCACUUUUCAGAGCACUGCUCACAUAUUUAACUAACUUAUAAUAUGAGCAUCCAUGCAUCUAAUGGUUGUAAAAAGUACUAUGGGGGAGAAUUUUCUAGAAAAUUAGCUUGUUUGAUAAGUAAUUCUAGAAUAGUAAUAUUCAUGGGCAACCCAAGGGUAGCGUAUUUGGUAGAUGCUUUCAUGCACUCUCACAGGAGAAGUCUCAGGGGGAGGGUCAUAUAGUUGUAGGCUUUCCCAGUCUUUCAAAGGUUGGCAAGUGGGGUUUGUGCAUCAUAAAAUGUCACAAGAACUGCACCUGAAGAACAUUCAAGAAGCCACAUCCGAAGUUCCAAGAAAGUCACAAAAUGGCUUCCCUACUGUUAGUUAAAGAUAGUUCAACAAUUAUAAAAUUAGGUGAUCAGUUAAAGCACAGAUGCAAGUUAGUUCACUGUACAUAAGACCUAAUAGUGUUUAGUUAAUCAAGUGUGAAAAAUGUAUAAAAAACAAAGAAAUAAAAAGGCUCCAAUAUUUUCUUUCGAUCUCUAUCUUCAAAAUUUUCACUUCUAACUAAUUUAAUCUUUUUUUUUUUCGAUACUAUGUGCGCCAAGCUCAUUGGUGGAAAUGUUGAAAUAUCCUUCUGCGUUUAUCAAAUAGCCAAUAUUUCAUAACUAUAUUGUGAUAUUUCAUCUUGUAUUUAUAAAUAAUUUUCUUUUGAAAAAUAAAGUUAUUUUUAAUUUUCUUCUGAAAAAUGAAGUUAUUUUCAGAAAAGUAAUUGAUCCACAAAUAUACCCCCUCCAAAUGAUAAUACAUUGGGUUAGAUCGAUUGAUGUUUUGGAAAUUUUUGUUGCUUUGUCGAAUACUCCAAAAAUGAAAAAUUAAAUUAAAAGAGAAUUUAUAAAUCUAAGCAAGGUGGUAUUAUUUAAUUUUAUAGGGUUUUAUUUCAACAUAGGCAUCCAAAAAUACAAAUACAUAAUUAGAAAAUAGGAGAAGACAAAAUGGAAUGAUAUGAUAUAAAAGACAAUAUGAAAAGGAAGAGCCAUUAUAAAAGAACAUUUAUAAGCCUGGAAACUCACAUGCAAUGUGGCAGAAAUGAUGGGGAUGUUUGAAGAAAUAAUGAGGACCACCACAAUGCAAUAUUUCCCUACUCUAAAGCGAGUAAAGAGGAUCUGGACAAGCUACCAUCUUCGAUAUAAUUCACCUUGUCCUAUUUUACAUUAUUAAUCUGGUCCCCUUUCAUACACUAUCAUAUUUCCAGAAAGAAAAAAGAAAAAUUUUCUUUUGGAAGAAAAACUGAUACUGCUCUCAAAUAAUUACAUUCUACCUUCAUCAAUGGUAUCUCUGUCAAUCCAUUUAUUUUCAUAAAAACAUGACUAUGAUCUUUGUGCAGGCUCAAUUUGUACCUUUCUUUUCCAACAUAAAUAAAAUCAAAAUUGAUGAGGUGGUAAUUGGGAAAAGUAGGACAACUUUUGUUUUUUUUUUUUCUUUUUUAUAACUCUUAUUUAUGUUUUAUUUUGGGAAACUAUUAAGAAAAAAAAUCACAAAAUAUAUAUAAAUAUAUAUUUCAUGUUUUUUAUUUAUUAAAAAUAAUUAAAAUUAACUAAAAACUUGUGAAGUCUUAAAUUAUUUCAUAUUUGUAGAGAAGAGUUGAAAUAUAUGAAAUAAAAUUGAAGUUGUACAUAAUAUAUAUAUAUUGAUUUUAAUUUUUUUUUUUCUUCAUUUUCUUUCUAAGGAAAUGUAUAUUUUCAUACACUCAUAUAAAAAUAUAACAAAAUAGGAAUACAAGCUUAUGAAAUACAAAUUUCAAGCAAUUAUUUAAAAAUAAUUAGCAUUUUAUGCACUUUUUGGUGAAAGGUACUAUCUUUAACCAUUCAAGUAUUACCUUCUAAUGAUAUAAGUACUACCUUUAACCAUCUUAUAUAUUAUCUUUGACUAAUGAGUACACGAAACUUAAAGAAUUAUUUUUAGAGAGUUUCUAUUUUGUGAUUAUUUUUAAAGGAUUGCAUGAAAAGACACUUUUUCAAUAAACAUGGGUGUAGAGCUAACUAUUCAUAACCAUGCAUCAUGUAAAUCCAUUGAUGCAAAAUAAAAAAUAAAAAACCUAGUGCAAUAACCAUUUGGAGCUUGUCUUCUUUGGUAUCCUUUGUUUUUGCUCCUUUUUCUUGUCACCUCCAUUCUUUUCAAAGGAAGAAAAUGUUAAAAAGGAGAUCAAUAAAGAAUAAAAUAUAGAGAAUGAAAGGCUUCUAAUGAAGUGUGACAAUGGGGCUUUAUAGUAAGAAGUAUAACUAAUAUAAAAACAAACAAUAAAACAAAUAACAUAAAAAAGUUCUUCAUAAGUAAAAAAAGCUAAUAAUAAUAUAAAAAUAUUUGUUUUCUUUUAAUAAUUAGAAAAACUACAAGUAAAAAAGGUAAAAUUAUAAAUAUAUCACUAUACAAAUGUGAUAGGCCACUCUGUUGAAAGGUUUUUCUCAAACUUCUUUAGAUAUUUCUUGUCAUUUCUUUACUUCUAAGAAAUAUAGCUAUAAUCACAGCUAAAAUAUGACUAGGACUGUGAGCUAGGAAUUAAUUAGUUUUCAAUAUCUUAUGUAAAUUUAGUAAUUAUUACUCCUUAACUUCCACAUUAACCUAAGCAUUGAUCAUCAACAAUUUCCCUUGUAAUUUUCAUAAAAUGGAAUGAGUUAGGGUUAUGAACUUAUAGUCUAUAAUAUGAUGAUCGAAUCGACUCCAUGAUUAUCAGUUUAUUCCAUACUGGACUAGAUUGGAAUAGUGUUAUAUACAUUCUCAUUAUGAGAAGAGGUGAUCAUUCGAGCGUAUCUAAAUAGAUACUAUGUUUACAUAUGAAUCCCUACAUUGUUACAUUCCAUUUAGGAUUAGGAAUAGGCGUAAUAAGACCUACUUUUUUACAUAUCUCUUGUUAUUUGGGACCCUAUUCACCCCUUUUCUUUUUAACCGUUCUUUUAAUUCUCUUUUGUUUCCUUACAUUAGUCCCACAUAUGCCUUAGCAAAAAUAUUCAUACCUAGAAAUCAUGAUUUUUAUUUCAAUAAAAAUUUUCUAUUGAAUUUUCUUGGGAUUGAAUGUCAUUUUCCUUAAAUUUACUUUAGAUUUGCAGGGAAAAUGAUAAAUAAUAAUAAUAAUAAUAAUAAUAAUUUCGCCACCAUACCCUUCUUUUUUCUAUAAACAAUAUUUUCUUCUUCGAAAACAACAUCCACUCUUUUUUUUUCCCCUCAAUAAUCAUAGUCUUAACAAAAUUUGUCUUUCAACCUCUUAAUAGAGAGAAAAAUAACAAAUUAUUUUUUUUAUUAACGUAUCAAACUAUUUUGUUUUUUAAAUUUCAAAUAAUUUUUUUAUUAAGUUGCCUUAUAGUUGAAUGUAAUUAAAAUAUCAUUGAGAUUGAACUUGAAAUUUAGCCUUAUAGUUGAAUGUAAUUAAAAUAUUAUUGAGAUUGGACUUGAAAUUUAGCCUCAAAUCAUGGAUAAUACUUUUAGGAUUAAUAUUGAGUACUCAAUUAUAUUAGUGAAUACUUUGAGAAUGUUCAAUAUGUAUAUAGCACCAAUGCUUACAAUGACUUUGAGAUAUUAUCAUAUUAAUAGAGGGGCUAGAGUAGUUGACAUAAUUGGGGAGAAAACAAAAGGAAAGGAAAAGAAAAGAAACGAAAUCAAAGAAAGAAAGUUUUGAUAAUAAUAAUAAUAAUAAUAAUAAUAAUAUAUAUAUAUAUAUAUAUAUAUAUAUAUAUAAGGAAAAAAAACUUAAGGUCCUUGUUUAGCCAAGGAAAAAGGAAGCCAAUGAAGACUGGAGCAAUUCCAAGAUGACGUUACGACUAAGGAAAAAACCAAACAGUAAGUUACAAAUGCAGCACAGCCAACAAGGCAUAAGAUGGAUUCUUCAGCAGCCAAUAGCCAUGCACAUGUCCAUAGCAAACCCCUCCUCUAUCCACAUAUAUUCCCCACCCUCAUUAAUUUCCUUAUCCUCCUCCACCUCCAAAACACCACAAAAAUGGCGCUGAGUCCGAAAUGGGUUUUUGUUGUUCAAAUCUUGUUGACUCUGAUCAAUCUGAAUAGAGCCACUUCUUCUUCGGACCCUCUUGUUCAGCAAGAGUUGGACAAGGUCCUUCAGCUCCCAGGCCAAACCUUUAAUAUCUCCUUUGCACACUAUGCUGGGUACGUCACAGUGAAUGAGUACACUGGGAGGGCUCUAUUCUACUGGUUCAUUGAGGCUGCUGAAGACCCUUCUUCUAAGCCUCUGGUUCUUUGGCUCAAUGGAGGUAGGCUUUUGGCAAACACCCUUGUCAUUAUUGUUGUCACUUUAUUAUUUUAUAUGUUGACUUCUAGCAAUUGGAUUGUUGUCUGGAAGAAUUUUGAUUAAAUGGUACUAUCAGUAUUUUGUCUGUACCCUACGUCUAUGAAAUAAUUGGGAGGGACUUGUUUGGGCUUUGUUUGGUUAUUGAGAAAAAUGAGGAAAAGGAAGGUAUUACCAAGAAAGUUUUUGCUGAUAAUUAGGUGUGUAAUUUAUAAUCAUAUGUCCUUUCCAGUUGUUCUUCCAUAAUGUUUUUUAUUCCAUGCAAUUGUAGAUAAGGAUGCAUGGUUUUUGGGUGGUGUUUCUAAUUUUUUUCUUUUUUGUGUGUGAUUCAAUAUCAAUCAUGACUAAUGGUCAUACUGAGAGUUUAAUUUUGUAAUUAUCCUUAAAAUUAGUUAAAAACUUAUUUGUUUUUAAAUUAUUUAAUUUUUAUAUAAAAGAAUUCAAAUAAGAUAAAUAACUUUGAAAUACAAUAUAAAAUUAAUUUAUUGACUUUAGAUAUAUUUCUUAUUUAUUAUUUACUUUUUUUCCUCUUAUUUUUAUUCUUUGUUUUUUGUUUUUCUUGCACUUUCUUAAACAUAACCUUCACGUUCAAAUAAUGAAUUCAAAGACUUUAUAUAUGUAUUAUAUGGUUGGUUAAAGAGAAAAGUGUGGAAAAUAAAUCCAAAAAUAUUCUAAAUAGCCAAAUACGAAAGUUCAAAUCCAAACUAUACCAAUUGUUAGUCUUAAGUCGGGUUGGUAGCUAACCCAAACCCCACCCAAAUUAGAAAAUAUCCAAACUAGGUCAACCCAAUUUGAUAUUCUAAACGUGCCCAAUCCAAACUCAAUCAACUUAAUCUCAUUAUUUAUUGUUUUAAAACUCAAGGUGAGUGCUGAGUUAGACUCAGUUUGAUAGUGUCAAAUUAAGAUUAGUUAGGUUUAGCAGGUCAAAUUUUGAUUGGAUCGAACUUAUUCUUAAUGUUUUUAUAUUUUUAUAUAUCUAUAUCAAAAUUUAAAUAAUAAAUAAGACAAUACUUCAUAAUAAUAAAAAUAAAAAUAAAAAUAUAUUUAUAUAUGCAUCUCUCUAGGCAAUUGAAAUAAUGCUCUAUAUAACCAUGAUUUUAUACUUUUCCUUAAAAAUAAAAAUAAAAAUAAAUUAAAGUAAAUAUUACUAUAUAAAAAUAUUAAAUAAGUUUCAAGUUACACUUAAAUUGUCUAAAGCUUGAUCCAAGUUGAACUGAUAGUAAAUGCAACAAAUCAAUGCGUAUUAACUUUUUUCAAUUUCAGUGACUGAUAUUUGAUAGUUUCAUUUGUUUGUUACUGCACUCAAACACAAACAAAUUUUUAUAAAUUAGGUUGUCUUAACCUGGAAUUUAUUUUUAUUUUUUUUCUGCAGGGCCUGGAUGUUCAUCCAUUGCUUAUGGGCAGUCGGAGGAAAUAGGGCCGUUUCACAUCAAGGAAGAUGGGAAGACCCUUUAUUUGAAUCCAUACUCUUGGAAUCAAGGUAUGAUUUCUCUCACCUUUUUAAUAAGGAUUGAGAAUGACUAAGCCUAAGGGCUCUUAUAAAAGGGUUUUCUUUUAGUUUAUACCAAUUUUGUUGGUAUUAUUUUUAUUAGUGUGAUUUUAAAGUAUUAUAAAAAAUAAAAAAGUGUCUUUAUAAAUAUAUAACAUACCCUUAGGUUCUCUUUGUUAAUUAGCAAUAGAACUCCUAAUUAAAAAUUAGAAUAUAAUUAACUUCUACAUUUAAUCAUCAUCAGUCUGCACGGUUGACAAAAUCAAAGGCAUAAAAAUAAUAAAUAAAUAAACAUAAACAACUAAGGUCUAAUGAUUAUUAGCGAAUUAUAGAAAAACUAUCCUAUCCGAUUAAUAAAUCACAUUUCCCAUUAGAUCAAGUUAAGUGCAUGUACUUAUUAUAAUCAAGGAUGAAAAUAUCGGUAAUCGCGGAUAUAUCGGUAUUUCGAUUUUAAGGAUAUAUCGAAGAUAUAUUGAAUAUAUCGGAGAUAUAUCGGCAGAUAUUUUGGAAAAAAAUAUCGGUAAACUUAAAAUUAUUAAAAACUCAUGAAAAUGUAAGGAAAACCUCAUAAUAAUAUAAUUAGAAGUAUAAUAGACAUUUUAAAGUUAUUUUAUUGAAAAUUUUGAUAUAUGUAUAACAUGAUUUAUCAUAUUUGAUAAUAAUAUCGUAUGCAUCGAUAAAAAUUUAAAUUUUAUAUGUGUACAUUUAUUACUAAAUUACAUCUAAUAUUAUGAUAUUUGAUUAUAAUAUGUCUAAUUUUAAAAUAUAUAUUAAUAUUAAAAUAUAAUCCAUUUAAUUCAAUUGUAUUAAACAAUAUAAAAUAAAUUAUGAUAUAUAUAUAAUUUUUUAAUAUUUAUUAAUUAUUAAUGAUAUUAAAAACAUUAUGAAGAAAAUUAUAUAAUUUUUAUAUUUUUGGUAAUUAAUUAAAAGAAAAUUUUGCAUUUAAUCAUAAAAUAAUUAUAAUUAAUUUGCUCUUUAAAAUAUUCUUUUAAUAUUUUAUUUAUAUAAUGAGUUUAAGUAUAUAUAAGUUUAGUGCAUGUUAUAUAACAAGGGCAAGUUAGCCCAGAUGGCAAAUGGAUUGACCCUAAACCUUUUGGUUUGGGGUUCAAAUCCCCUCGGAAAUGGGGGGAACCCGCGUUGACCAUGCUAGAUAUCACCGAAAUAUCGCGACAUUUUCUUCCUUGGUUAUAAUACAUUCACUUGUUUGCUUAAGAUCAACAACUCAAUGAUGGAGUAAAUAUAUCAUCCUAUCAAAUAGUAGCACCAGUGUAGGCUUAUUUUUUAGUAUCAUUGUACCACCAAUGCUAGAACACUUCCGAUUAACAAGGAACUCAAAGAAAAUCAUCAUUCUUUGCUUUGGGUUCAUUAAACAAUAAUAUGAUCUUUGUAUAAUGUUAUCAUGUUGAUUUUCAUUUUGAGAUCAUAUAUAACAUAGAAAUACAAAUAAUAAAAUAAUAAUAUGGAAUCUCUUUUAAAUAUCAAUACAAAACAAAUUGAAUAAAAUAAAAUUUCAAAAAUGGGUUAUGAAAGAGCAUAAUCUAAUAAUCUCCAACUUGCAUUCAAAACCAAUUGUACACCUAUUUUUUACCUUCUUUGCCUCAACAUUUUUUGUUAAGGCAAUUUUUGUUAUUGUUGCAUCGGCUCUUUUUAUUAUGUCAUCUAGUGAAAUCUAUGUUCAAUGUGUUUCUUCCUUUAAAGAGCUCCAUGCUCAAGAUCAUAUCCCAUUGCACCAUGUUAUCACAAUCAUGAUGAAUUUUGAUUGGAAGUUGAAUGGAUAGAAUGAUUUCAAGUUCUAGAAUGAGCAUACAAAUCCUCACUACUUUUGUAGCUAUAUACUAUGCUACCAUGAUGGUUUAUUGUAAUACGUCGCUUUCAGUUUCUCCAAUUUAUUAUUUCUUUACUAAGUGGCAAACACAACUCCAAAAGUAGGUAUUCUCACAUCAACACUUUAUUGCAAAUUAGUGUCCAACAUCAAAUAAUUAAAGAAAAAAGAGGAGAAGGUCGAUUGAAAAUUGACAGUUGGUUAUAGGAGUAAAUAAGCUAUCAAGCCAUAUAUAGCAAGCCUUUCAAUAUGUACAACAAGUGAGCAAUGUCAUUCCUCACUCAUUGGGAAGCCAUGUGCAACAAGCCUUGAGAUAUAUACAACAAUUGUCAUUCCUUAAUCAUUAGGUUGAGCAACGACCAUGAGAUAUUCGUGGAGAAAAUAUGAUAAUAGGAAAUCCUUGUGAUAACAAUUUACAUUCCACUAGGUUUGCAUGCAAUAGUUGUUUAUCAUUCCCCCUUAAGUUAGUGAACAAAAUUUUAUGAAAUCCCAACUUGUAAAAAAAAGUUAAGAAAAUUGAAUCAUAGGCAAGACCUUUAUAAAAUGUCAACUAUUUGAAGAUUUAUAGGUAGAAAUUGAGUGACUAAAACACCAAAUAUAACCUUUUCUUGAACAAAAUGGUAGUGAAACUCAAUAUGCUUAGAGCAAACAUAAAAAAUAAGGUUGAUGGUCGUAUAAAUGGAACUUUAAUCAUUACACAAUAAUUGAGGUGAUCGAGAAAGUGAAACUUCAAUAUCUUCAAGAAGAAAUCAUAACCAAUUGAUUUUCAUUGUAAUAGAAGUUGAUGACAAGUGCUAUAAUUGCUGUAGGAUUUAAGCUAAAAUAAACCAACAGAGCUGGUAUUCUGUUAAGAAUAUUCUGCAACAUAAAGGAACAAUUUUUAUUUUAGUUUGAAUUUUUUUGAAUUCAUAUUUGACUUAGUAAUGCUAUUAGAAAUCUGUUGAAGAUUUGUAAGCAGAUUUUUUUGGCUUUGUUUGUUUAUUUUCUUGUAUAAAUUCAAAUUUUGCAGCAAUGAAAGGUGUGCAAUUUUCAGCCCCAAAUUUUCUGUGUUUUCUAUUCUUACUUUAAAAACCUAUAGAAGCUAAAUGUCAUGGACUUAGUCGUUUCCUAAGCUCGUGCGGCACUUCAACAAGUCAAGAUGCUUGAUCUUGCUAAGUCAGUCUUACUCCCAACACUUAGCUUGCUAGGCUAAAAUGCUCACGACUCGAAAGCUAGAGAAGAUUAGUAGGCAACUCUUUAAAGAAUGGAAGCUCUUAUUAACUCAAGGAAACCUUUACAAGUGCUUGGAAGCUCACUUGCUUGGUUAGGAAGUGAUUUGGGUGGUGCCUUGACCAAAUGAGGGUCUCACCUAUUUAUAGGCACCAAUGGAACUCUCUGGAACCUUGGAGGGUUCUUUACAGAUAAAGAAUAUUCUAGAACUCCCUACACUAAUCUAUGUACAACCUUAUGUACAAGAAUAUACAAGAAAUCUCUAGAAUUCUCUAGAAAGCCCUAGACUCCUCUCAUGCCUUCCACCAUAGUGUAGAGAUGUGUGGACUUUUUUAGACAUCUCUAGAACCUUCCAUACUCUUCCCACUAAUGGCUUAGUGUAUAUGGCUUCAGGAAUCUCCAGAAGCUUUCUAGGCUUAUAUAAGCCCAUGGGGAGGGUCAUUUGAAGCAUCCUGUGACACUCACCCCCACCUAUGCCGUCGACGUCCUCGUCGUUGCCUCUUUCUGAAACCUCUCGAUGUGUUUCCAGAACCUUCUCAAGGCAUCCGCAUGUUCCCAGCUUGUUUGUCUCUUAGGUAGUCCUUUCCAUUAGACUAGAUACCCUAUCAUAGGAGGGACCCCUUGUCUCCUGGUGACCCGUUCACCUAGGACAUUCUUCACCUUCUUCUCCUGUGAGGCCUCAGAUGGAUGCAGACCUAUGCACUUUCGAUGCUUAGAGUGCUGCUUCUUCUUACCCAUCGAGUUCACCUUUCCCUUGGUGACCUCGUCCAUAUGUGUGUGGGCUACCUCAACUCGCUCCCCUUUUGCCGCCUUUACUUGCACCCCUGAUAGUAAGGAGGUCUUAGGCGUACCAAGCUUUGGGUUGAAUUGGAGGGCACCUAGUAGCUGCAUCGAGCCCAUAUGUGUUUAGUCCUCCUGUUCCUUCUCCUCGAUCAUGGCAUUGAGCUUCUUCCUCUUUAGACAAUUCCGUGCCCAAUGUGGACCAUCACAUAGGAAGCAUUUGAUUUUAGGCAUAAACUCCUUCCUUUCCGCCUUACCCCUUCCUUCUCGGACGUUAGGCGUCUUGCCUGAUCCCAUUCUAGCAGCAUUGUGGUCCAUUAAGACCUCGUCUCCCCCACUCGUGGCAUGGCUAUCCUCCAAAGACUCAACCUUGGAUGAGUCUCCCCUCUUGUAAUCUGUUAGAGACUCUGCUACUGCCAUAGCAGUGGCUAAGUCUUGAACGCCUCGGCACCUUAAUUCCUGCUUGGCCCACCCUUGCAGGUUAUCCAUGAAGUUGAAUAGCAACUCCUCUUCAAUCAUGUUAGGAAUCUCAAGCAUGAGUGAAGAGAAUUCCUUGACAUAGUCGCGUAUCGAGCCUGUGUGCUUGAGACACCUCAUGUUUUUCCUAGCCAGGUAAGCCACAUCCUCGGGGUAGAACUGCCUCUUAAUCUCCCUCUUGAAGUCUUCCCACGUCUCUAUGGUGCAAUUGUCUUUCUUCAUAUCAGCAAACCUCUGAUGCCACCACAGAGUAGUUGUGUCAGUAAGCUAGAGGGUUGCAGUUCUUACCUUAGUCGCCUCAUCAGUCAAUGCGAUAGCCUCGAAGUAUCGCUCCAUAUGCCAUAAGAAGAUAUCCAACUCCUUGGCAUCCCGCUUGCCACUAAACCCAUGUGGCUUCGGCACCUCCACCCUAGAUGCCUCCUAUGUGGCCAUGACCCGUGCCAACACAGCAGCCUUGUAGAUGCUCAACUCCUGCUUAACCUCCUAGUCUUGGACUCCAUUCGAGUGGCCAAGGCCUCUAUCCUUGACUCCAUGCUAGCAAGCAUGCUCAAGACCUUUCCUUGGAAGGACACAAACUCCUCGUGCGACACUGGCUGAACCUGUGAGACUAGCACCCUCUCACGAAGGUCUUGGAUUUGCUCCCUUAGAUCCUCUAAGCCCUUCUCCAUGCCUUGCUCGAUCAAGUCUAACCCCUCCCGAGUGUCCGCCAUGGCUAGCUCCACCUUGGCUAACCUUGCCUCCAUGUUGGCAACGGCAUCACGAGAUUUAUCCUUCUUACCCCUGCCCCAUGCAGUAGGCUCAGUCUCCCUCCCACGGGUUUGCUCGCUAGUCUCCUCCACGUUAGAGCCCGACAUGCUUCCUUUACUAUGCCCACUUGGUAACUACGCUCUGAUACCACUUGUCACGGACAUAGUCGUUUCCUAAGCUCGUGCGGCACUUAGACAAGUCAAGAUGCUUGAUCUUGCUAAGUCAGCCUUACUCCCAACACUUAGCUUGCUAGGCUAAAAUGCUCACGACUCGAAAACUAGAGAAGAUUAGUAGGCAACUCUUUAAAGAAUGGAAGCUCUUAUUAACUCAAGGAAACCUUUACAAGUGCUUGGAAGCUCACUUGCUUGGUUAGGAAGUGAUUUGGGUGGUGCCUUGGCCAAAUGAGGGUCUCACCUAUUUAUAGGCACCAAUGGAACUCUCUGGAACCUUGGAGGGUUCUUUACAGAUCAAGAAUAUUCUAGAACUCCCUACACUAAUCUAUGUACAAGAAUAUACAAGAAAUCUCUAGAAUUCUCUAGAAAGCCCUAAACUCCUCUCAUGCCUUCCACCAUAGUGUAGAGAUGUGUGGACUUUUUUAAACAUCUCUAGAACCUUCCAUCUUCUUCCCACUAAUGGCUUAGUGUAGAUGGCUCCAAGAGUCUCCAGAAGCUUCCUGGGCUCUAUAUAAGCCCAUGGGGAGGGUCAUUUGAAGCAUCCUGUGACAUAAAGCCCUAUACUUAGAUUCAACACUCAAGAAAAAUACUUAGGCUGCUUUUUAGAAGAUCAAGAUACACAAUUAUGCCUUUAAAUAUGCAAUAAUCAGUGGUGCUUCUCCUCAUAGCAACACAACCAACCUAAUCCGCACUAUAAAAAAUAGACAACCAUAAAGCAUUUUAAGCUAAAUAAAGAAUGUCAUAAUCCAUGGUUCCUUUUAAGAUAACAAAGAACACUUUUCAUUACUCAAAUAUUACCUUCAUUUGGACUUUUGAAAUGUUGACAUACCUUGUCCUAUACUAUGUGUGGUCAUGUGAAUGGUAGAGAUUAAAGGGGUCCAACUAUUUUAUACAUUGUAGGUUCUACUAAGUUGGCAUCACUAGAUUGAGGUUGUGGUUAGAUGUAUUCAAAUUAGAAUAAUCAAGUAUCUUGGCAUGACUCAACAAGUCUUUUAUGUAUUUUAGCUUUUAAAGAAACUUUAAUUAGUCAAGCUAUGAAGGUUACUAUAAUUUGUGUAGCUAGACCUUGAGAACAUUCACUUAUGCUAAUUCAAAUAUAAAUGAAUCUUUUAUACUUAAAGGUGUUGAUGUUAUUAGACCUAAAGUUUUUAUUAUAAAUGAUCCAUUUAGUUCAAAUGACAUCAAUACCUUUAGAUCUUUGAACUAAAGUCCUAGUUUAAUUUUGAUAUAUGGCUUGAAACUUAUCUAGCAUCAUGGAAUGCCAUUGUGGCUACUUUAAAGCUACCCUAAAAGUUUUGGGUUCAAUAAUAGUAGUGGUAGGGUAGUAGUAAGGGUUAUUUUAUGUGUAAUAUUUGAGUUUUCUUUUAGCACAUGUCAUGUGAUCUAAUAGUGCAUAUCUUUAUGGCGAUAUUGGGUAAUAUGUGAAUGAAUUGUGUGGUUGUUAUAUCUACUUUUGGAAUAUGGAGAUCAAUGAUAAGAUAAUGGGUGAUGUUAUUAGGAUCAUGAGCUAUAAUGGUUGGAGAUGUAGAAGUAAAAGUUGUUGCUUAUUGAUUACCUUCAUGAUUGGUAAUAAGAUUUAGCUUGUUAGGACAUGCAUGGUGUGAAGAAGCUUCAAGUUAUGAAUAGUAGAAACAACAUCAUCAUAACAAGUCUAUGAGUUUUAUUAAUUGUCUUUUGGGACCUAAGGCAUGGAGUUAUAAUUAGAAGGUUGUACUUUUUAACUGAGAUUUAAAUUUUGGAAGGUUCAACAUUUUAGAUUAUGUUUACAUAGAACAUCUUGAGAAAACAUUAUCAUUGAAAGGAAAAUAAUUCUCAAUCGACAAUGUUAUUCUUUAAUAAAUGUGAAGCUAUAUGCAUCUAGCUUUGUAUCUCUGUGUGUGUGUUUAUGUGUGUAUGUAUGUGUGUAUGUAUGUAUGUAUGUAUGUAUGUAUAUAUAUAUAUAUAUAUAUGUAUGUGUGUGUGUGUGUGUGUGUGUGUGUGUGUGUGUGUGUAUUCAUAGAAAGUUGGCCGCAUUACUUCUCAAUCAUUGGGUUAUGUGUGUGUGUGUGUGUGUUUGUGUGUGUGUGUAUGUAUAUUCAUAGAAAGUUGGCAGCAUUACUUCUCAAUCAUUGAGUUAAGCAUGACUUUGAAUCAAAGGUAGAAUCAAUGGCCACCAAAGAAAAAAGUUUGUGGUGUUUAGUUUGCUAGAAACAAGACUAGCACACUUAUAAAAAGCUUAUAUGCUAAAAUUGGAUUCAUUUAGAUAAAGAAAUAAGGAAGUUUUGUUAGAGCUAAUUGUAUUCUUUGAUACCUUGAUCAAGAUUUGAAGGAGCUAGACAAUAAUCUAUCUAUAUAUUUUAUGCUCAAAAUAUUGGCCAUGCAUUGAUAUGUACACGAAGAUACAAAACAAUAGUAGAAAUAGUAAACAAUUGAAAAUUGACUAUGGAUUGUGAAUGUAAAUCAAGCUAUCAAGUCAUAUCAACAAGCCUUGAGAUAUAUACCACAAGAGUAGCAAUAUUGUUCUUCAAUCAUUGGGAAGCCAUAUAUAGCAAGCCUUAAGAUACAUACAAGUCAACAAUGUCAUUUAUCAAUUAUUGCUUCAAACAAUACUUGUGAUAAUGCUUUACAUUCCAUAAAGUUUGCAUGCAAUAGUUGUUCAUCAAAGUCCUCACUACUAAAUAUUAAAAGAAAGUGUUUUGUUCUUUUCAAAUAUUUGAGGAUGUGUUUAAUAGUUAUCCAAUGUUCAAGUCCAAGAUUGGAGUACUAUCUAUUUACAAUACCGACCACAAAAUUUAUAUCUAAUCUUAUGCAUAGCAUUGCAUACAUGAGACUUCCUAUAGCUAAAGUGUAGGGGGAAUUCCUCAUUCUCUCUACAUGGGUUUAGGAUACAUUUGUUUAGAGAGAUGAAUUCCAUGUUUAUAGGGUAAAAAAUCUUUUUUGGAAUCUUGAAUGCUAAAUAUAGUUAAUAUCUUGUUAAUGUAAUUAGUUUGAUUAUUCUUUUACUUUGGUCUCUAAACACUUUAAUUUCUAGUAUGUAGCAAAUUCUUCAUUGCAAAGUGAUAGGAUAACUAUUGUUGUAUCAUUUCCAAUGAGUAAUAUGUCCUCAAUAUAAGAAGCAAAAUGAAAUAAUGCUCUAACUAACCUUUUUGUAUAGAUAAAGACUAAUUCAUAUUUGUAUAAAAUCAAACAAUUUGAUUGCCCCAUCAAAUAGAUGGUCCAACUAUAGAGCUUAUUUGAGUCCAUAAAUAAACUUCAUCUAUUGGUAGACUUUAGAUGCUUUUAAGAAAAUAUAAAGCCUUCUUAAUAGUCCAUAUAAAUCUCCUCUUGAGCAUUUUUAAUCAAGAAAGUAGUUUUAAUAUUCAUUUGUCAUAUCGUAUUAAUCAUUUGUAUGCAACAAUUAAUAACUGGAGAAUCUUGAUUGAAUAAUAUUCUUGUUUAUUUAUAUAAAAAAAACAUUGGAUAACUAGACAUAUAUUUUCAAGUAAAAUAUACUUUUUUUAAUAAGAUUGAUAUUAUAAGAUCAAUAUUCUUGAAAGAAUAUUUGCGACAAGUAUAUAGUUUAGAUAGUUGUUUUUGGAGUAUAAAUUUAAAGAUUCAGCCUUAAUAUUUUUCUUUCUCAAAGAUCAAAGUUUCAUUGUGAUUCUUACCACUUAUAAGCACAACUAUGUCUUUUUUUUUUUAAACUAUUUUGUAGCUGCCAACAUUCUAUUUCUUGACUUCCCUGUUGGAGUAGGCUUUUCAUAUUCAAAUUCUUCCUUUGAUAUAUCAAGCAAUGGAGAUCUAAGGACCGGUAUGACUUUUAACCUUUGUAGAUAUCAAUGUAUUGGUUUAAAAUAUAGGCCAUAGUUUCUAUGAUGGUAUACUUAUAUCUAAUGGUCAUUUGAUUUUCAGCUAAGGACUCAUUAAAAUUUUUAUUGGAGUGGUUUGAGCGUUUUCCACAAUAUAAAGGAAGGGACUUCUACAUUACAGGAGAGAGUUAUGCAGGUUUGUGAUGAUACAUCUAAUUUUUCUUUCAUUUCAUUCUAUUAAUUUCUUUUGGAUGUUACUACAUCAAACUGAACAUGGAACCUUUCAUGUGAUGAAAUAGAAAAGGAGAAAAUUAUAGGUAACCAUAAUAAAAGUUAGAUUAUAAAAGUUAAAUGAGAAACACAAGAAAGUAAAGGGAGAAAGAAAAAUGGAAAAUUCUUUUAAUAAUUUUAAAUAACAAUAAUAAUCUCAAAUUAGAUUAUAACAAUAAGAAAGUCAUAUUUCCUUUCCAUCAUAACUCUUUUAUAAUCAUAGCUCACCUUCUUAAUUACCUAAUAUGCUUUGUGUUCUAACUCUAUAGGUAGAUGAAGUACUUUCCUAUAAACAACUCUAUAAGGAGACAUCCCAAGACUAGUCUUAUAAGUUUUUUCUAUAAACCCUCAAUAGGUUAGGUAACUUCCAACCCAAUCUUAAUGUUCACAAAUUUUAACAAAAUGUCUUCCUUUUAUAGUUUUCCUAGAGGAUAAAUAAAAGGGCCCUCAUAAAGUUAAGUCCCCAAUAAUCCAAGACUUCUAUAACUUGGACAUGACUCAGACAUUUGAUAUCUCUUGCUAAUUCUUUCUAGCUCCAGGUACUACAUACAACUUCUAAAAUGUAUGUUACCAUUUUCAAACAAUGAAAGCCAAGCAAAUUCGCUUUGUUUUGAUAUCUUCCUUGCAACAAGUAUUCUCUACAAGCUUUCUCAUGAUACAUAUUCAAAAUACUUCAUUAUUCUUCCUCGGUCACAUAUCUUUAAAAUAAUUCUACUUAGCCCUUAAUAGAAAUCGCUUCUUCUCAUCUCUGAUCUAAUCAAUAAGUUCGUAUUUACAUACUAUAUCUAUAGCACAAAGUAUAUGAUGUGGAAAAGUAUAUUAAGUUGUCUUCAAAUGUUGAGUUAAUUUUCCCUAAAGAGAUAGUCUAUAACCACAUUCUCUACUCUUUGUUUGUCCUUAAUAUGAUGAUUAAACUCUUGUGAUAGAAGAAUCCAUUGAAUGAACCUAGCCUUGUUGUCUUUUUGUUAUUCAAUAGAUAGUUAACGGCUGUGUAGUCUAUGAACACUACUAUAUGAUUCGUGCCCAAUUGGUGUCUCAGCUGAUUCGUGUCCAGCUGGUGCUCCUUGAUUGAGGGAGUAAUCAACAAAAUUUAUAACCUAUUACACCAUAUACUAGGGUAGCAAAGACAAAGCUACUAUAGCAUAGUGGCUCUAGGAUCGUUCACUGGGAUGGGUUUUCACUUCACAAAUGAUGUUAAUUCAAAGUUGAAUUGGUGUCUUUUCAUUUCAAGGUUAGCUUUAAAAGAAAACAUAAAGAUGUUUGAAUGAAAAAGGAUUGGUUUUAAGCUAACCAAAAAUAGUAACUGAUUUUACUUACAAAGAAAAAUGUUUCUUGGAGUUUAGAUCACUAGGCUCAGGUUCCUCAUACAAAAAGGGAGUUCCGGUCACUUGUUUCUUUUCCUCGCAUUAGAGAAUUAACAUAUAGUUCCUUCUCCAACCGGUAUUGUACAGAUGCUUCCCAUUAAUGGGUUCAAACACUAAAUCCCUCUCACUGAUGCACAUUGCAAUGGCUCAUACCUCUCACCUAGCACUUGCCAUUCAAGGUUAUCUUUAACCUUGGACUUCCCUUCAAACGCUCGCAAGAGAUAACUAAUGGAUGUCUCCUUGGAGUCCAAAAGCUUACCAAGUGUUGGCAAUUUCAGAAAAUCCUACCUACAAGUCACCUCCCAGAGGCUCGCAAGGGGUAAACUAGUGCAUCUCCAUGGUUGGAGAUCACUUGCCUUACCAAGUGUUGGCCCAGGUGACUCUAAGGUGUUUUAAGUUAACUAAAAAGAUAAAAACCAUUAACGGGUCACACUUUCUCUUCAUUAAAAACUAAAACAACAAAACUUCCAAAUUAUGCAUGUGGAAACUUACCCGGCUUUCCUUACUCCAAGAGACAAAAAGCUUAGCCUCUCAUCCUCUGAGGAAAAAUCCUCAAAGUUUGGUUGGCUAGAAAUAAAAAGAAAUGAAAAAUGAAAGAGAAGGAAAAACAGAGCAAGGCUCUGUAUAUUCUAUAUAUUGAUCGAUUGAUUACAUUGGAUGCAAGGGAGUUUAUAUAGGAAGGUAAUUUACCCUUCCUUGGAUACUUCCUAGCUAAGGAAUUACAUGAGUGGUUGAAUACAAGGAGAAAAUGGAAAUUUAGACACAAAAAUCUGAAGAAAAUAUCCCAAAGUGUCGGUCACAAAUAUCGGGAAGCACUAAGGACCAUUUCGCAGGUGAAAACGAGGUCUACGAGAUUUCGCAGACAUCCAAAAAGGGCUGCGAAAUCACUUCGCAGCAAAAGGCUGGUUCCGCACCGCUGCGAAGUUGGCUUUCAUCUUGUGGUGUUUGGCUUCCAUCGCGGCGUGAAACUUCAAAAGGGAAUCCACAACACUGUACAAAAAGGCUGCGGAAUUCUCGUAACAAAAGGCUGAUUCCGCAACACUUUGCAAAAUGCUUCCUUCAGCUUAGAGUGAUUGACUUGUAGUGGCUGUAACUUCUUCGUUUCAACUCCAAAUUGUACACCGUUUGAAGCAUUGGAUUUUUGACUUCCUGAGCUUUGAAAUGGUAUAUAGCAUGUAGAAAAUGGACUUCGGGAAGUGCUCCAAAAGUACACAAGAAGACUACAGCUGCUGUCCUCUGUUUUCUUCACUCUGUUUUUCCUCUCUCCUUGCUUCUCUCCUUGCAUACUUUGAACGAAUUUGGCAAAGGUCUAUGGAGCUCCAAAGCUUGGUUCUUCAUGAAUUUGAGCUCUUCAUUGCUUUGCCAUGGAUUCCAAAUAACUCUCCUCAAUCUUGGAUUGUUUUGGUGAUCAAAUUACUAACAAAAACACCAAAACUUACACAAUUUGAUUAGAAAUGAUUGCAAGGGUCCUUAACAUGUUAAUUGGGUUAAAAGGCAAUAACUACUACUCAAAAGUGUUUAAAAGAGUUAAUUACAAGCUAUCAAAUAGCACUUUUUGAGUAGUAAUCACUAUAGAAGUCCCAAGUAGGUAGUUUCUAAACUUGUCCAAGGCAAAUACAACAAGAAGCAACUCUUUUUUUCAAUUGUGCUAUAAUUCCUCUAUAUUUUGGUUAAUGUCUUGUUAGCAUAGUAGAUUACAUUUGAUUUAAAUUCUUUUCUUUGUCCUAGUACAACUCCUAACGCAUAAUCACUUACAUGAUACAUAAUCUCAAAAGGUGGUGCCCAAUCAAGAGGUCUCACAAUAGGUGCUAAUGUCAAUAACAACUUUAACUUCUCAAAAGCUUUUUGGUAGGCAUUAAUCCAAUUGAAUUCAACCACUUUUAGCAAUAGAGGAGAUGGUGAUUGAGAUAUCUUUGAGAAAUCUUUUAUCAAUCUCUUAUAAAAUCUUGUAUGUGUAGGGAAUUAUCUUAUUUCUUUAACAGUGGCAGGUGGUGGAAGAUUUAUGGUUAACUCCAUGCUAGCUAGAUCAACUUUAAUUCCGUCCCUAGCAAUGAUAUGACCUAACACCACUCUUAAAGUUGUCAUGGAUUGACACUUUUCUUAAUUUAGCACUAGGUCUUUUUCAAUUUAUAUCUCAACACUAUCUUCAAAUUCAACAAACACUCAUCAAAUGGUUUCUUGUAAGUUAUCAAGUCAUCCAUGAAUACUUUUGUAAUCCUUUCAAUCACUAAAAAUGUUGAGUAUACACCUUUGGAAACUAGUUGGUGCAUUGCACACUCCAAAAGACAUCCUCAAUCUUAUAAGCAUAGGUUCCAAAUGGAUAGGUGAAACUAGUCUUCCUUUAGUCCUCCAUUUUGCAAUUUAAAAAUAUCCUGAGUAGCCAUCCAAAAAAUUGUAAUACUCAUGUUCUGCUACUCUUCGUCAUACUUGAUCUAAGAAGGGCAAUGGAAAGCAGUCUUUCGUUGUUAUAACAUUUAGUUAUCCAUGUUCAAUGCAUACUUUCCCUCCACUAGUAAGUUUUUCUAGUAUGAAAUCACCUUUUUCAUUCUUCAUAAUAAUGAUUUUCCUCUUCUUUAACAUCACUUGAGUAGACCUCACCUAAGUGCUAUUAGAGAUGGGAUAUAUGAUGCCUAUAUCUAAAAGCUUUAGUUAUUCAAUGCUAACUACAUCUUACAUUAAAAUAUUAAGUCUUCUUUAUGGUUAUCAUGCAGAUUUGGAAUUCUCCUCCAAAUAUAUAUGAUAUAUACAAAUCAUUAGAAUGAUCACCUUCAAGUCAAAGAUGGACCAAUCCAUGGCUUCUUACAUUCUUUAAGAACCUUCUAUAACUUAUUCUCUUGUUUCUCAGUAAGGCAUAAAUCACCACUAAUGUCUAUUUUCCCUAAAAAAAGUAGACUUUAAAUUUUUUUUGUACGCAAAAACGUAAUUUUAGUUUUCUUUGCUUCCAUUUCUUCCCCUUCAUUCUUAGUUACUCUACUAAAAAAAGAUACUAAUGUCCACUUUCUAUAAAACAUCUACUAUUCCCCUUAGUACCCUAAUAGAUUGAUCAACUAAGGAUAUAGUGAUAGUGGUAUAUAUCGUUGAGCUCUUCUAAUCCCAAUUGCUUAUAUAUGGUGUAAAGUCAUAAGUUCAAACUAGCUCCUAAGUUAAGUAAGGCUCUUUCUAUAUAAGAAUAUUUAAUUUACACAAAAAUUGUAAGGCAGUCAAGAUCUUUAUAUUGAACCACUUUAUUCUCAAUGAUUGCUCAGUUAAGAAGGUCUUCUUGCUCAACUUAAUCUUCUGCUUCUUUGUGCAUAAGUACUUUAAAAUUUUUGCAUAAAUAGGAAAUUGCUUGAUCAUUUCCAAGAGACUUUAUUAAUCUUCGCUUGCUUCAACAACUCAAGCAUCUCAAUCAUUUGCUCAAUUCAUGUUAUGCUUCUUUAGUGGUGAAGGGAAAAUGAGGAGACUCUUGAUAGUAGUCUUCUUUGUUUCUUCUUACAUCAUGUCUUCUUUAUUCUAAACUUCUUUUUCUUUCAUAGUCUCUUUGAUUUUUCCACAAUUGAUUCAUGCUUUUGGACUAAUAUGUCAUCUCUUUUCUGCUUUAUCUCUUCCAACUUCUUCAUACUUCUUACUGUGAUCAUGAUCUUAACCUUUUCAUUCUUUCACAACUCAACUACCUCACAAGAAUUCUUUAAGCUGGAAAUUGCCCUUUCUCUAAGGCAAGUUAGCUAAAAUUUGGCCUAAAGUAGUUUAAAUAUUGAAGUUGGCUUGUUAUGUCUUAGUAUUAAGCCUCCUCAACUUUUCAUUAAUCUUCCCUAGUUAUUGUACAAACCAUUGAAUCAAGUUUUCCAUAUUUAAACUCGAAGGUGCUUGUUGAUUUUUUUAUACAAACCCUUGAUGUUCUGAUUGAGAUGUGAAUUCAAGAAGGAACUUGGUUUGACGUCAUUUGAGGAGCAUAUAGUUGUUGUCUAAUACAUUACGUAGUUCCAAACUGAUUUUCUUACUGUUAUACUAGUUAUUUGGUUGAGUUGGUUGCAUUUCUUGCUAAAAUUGAUCUCUCCCUCUCCAUGACAAGUAUGAAUGAUUUUUUCACCUAGGAUUGUGUGUGUUGGAGAAUGGAGAAUUUAUAUUACUCUAUUUAAAUGCACCAACAGCAUUGGCUUACAUACUAAAAAACCAUGUUUUUCAAUGCUAGAAUUAUUGGAUAGCUUGCUACUUCAGGCUCUUCUAAUUGAUAUACCAAACACUUCAUCAUCCCUGCUCUGUUCAUAGACUUCAUAUCCUAAACUCAUCUAGCUCCCAAGUCCUAUAAUCUUUUCACUAAUUUGGAUAUCUUUUCUUGAAAUCUAUCCCAUUAAACAAUUUGAAGAUACCAUUAGAGCUUGUCUCUCUAAAUAGCUCCUAGUUACAAGAUGUUCCCAACUCCUUAACAUGUCAGCCUUAUAGUCCAGAAAUUGAAGAACUUCAUUUGAACUUUUGCUCAUAAUAAUUGCUUCAUUUGGAGAGACAAUUCUUUCAUAAAAAUAUGAGACCAACCUCCAGUUGUCAAAACCAUCAUGUUGGUAAGCUCCUCCUAUCUUUUUAAACUGUUCUCAACAUACGAAAAACUUGUUCUUCACUUGUUCCAUGAAGUUUGAAAUCUCCUUCUUGAAUUAAAUGCUUUUCUAUGGCAAGAAAAUUUUCUAAAGGAAAACUAACUAAAAUUCAUUCCAGUUACUUGAUAUUAUUGGGUUUGAGAGUGUUCAAUCAUGUCUUUACCUUAUCUCUCAAUGUUUGAGGGGAUGACUUCAUCCUCAACACAUUCAAAGGCAUGUUUUUUUCCUAGAAUGUAAAACAUAUCUCUCCACCUCCUUGAUGUGUGUGUAUGGAUUCUUAUUCCCAUUUCCUCUUAAAACUGAAAGCAAGGGAACUAGUUGUGGUAUGAUCGUAAUAUGCUCCUAUAGAGUGAAAAAACACGAUGAAGGGCUCACCCUUAGAGGAUUUAAAUGCUCCCUCGUGGAUUAAAUUAUAGGCACGGAAAGGCCUGGGAGGCCCAUUAUUGUUUCCAUGCUAAUCCUUAUCAUUGUUGCUUGAACAAGUUAAUCAACUCUCUCUAGUCUCUCUACAAAGCCCCUUCUCCAACCAAGCAUAAAAUAAAAGAAACUCUAAGGAAAAAGAAAGAUAACUAAUGGAAAGAAACAAUUGAAUCCAAAAUUAAGCAAAAUUAAUCCUAAGCUGAAAAUAAGCUCUGAAAUAAGAAUAGCUACUAAAACCAACUUAAUCUUUAACCUCAACUACUAAACUGAACUAAGUAGGAAAUUCACUCUAACAUAUCACAACAGUAGCCGACACAAUUUCCUUAUCUUAAAUUAAUAAAAAGAUUUAUAGUAAAAAAAAAUAAAUAAAAAAAUAAAAAAUAAAUAAAAAUAAAUAAAAAAUAAAAAACCAGAUGUCAUCCUCUAGGACCAGCACAAUUGGCUAUUUGUGUUUUUGUUCAAAGUAAACUCACUAGUAGUGUUAAUGGAUUUAAGUCAAAUAAGAUAUGUAUGAAAGGUAUUGCCUUUUUUUUAAGCUAUCAAAUUGUAAUAAACAAAAUCAAUAUAAAAAAAGGCUUAAGAUGUUUCACAAUUUAUAUUUCAAGUAACAAAAUGAGAGAGAUACUAGUAAACUUAUCUAUUAUACAGAGAUUAAAAUCAAUCCAAGAGUGAAUUGAAUCUUAAGAUCAAUACAUGUAUGGAAUUCAGAUUUAAAUGUUAAAACACAGCUCUAAAACUUAAUCAAUGUGCUCUGCUACAUUUUGUUUCUUAUUACUUAGACUACAACCCAUCAUCUAUCUUGUAGCUUCUCCUUGGAUGCAAUCAUAGUAGAUGAAACCAAAUUGUCUAAUGGUCAAGUUUUCCACAAGAAUCAAUAGGACCUAGUAAGUAAUUUCAUAUUUUGUUUUAUCUCAAUGCAAAGGGAGAUAGUAUUUAAAGAAAGUAUAAGGUCUAACCAUCCAUCAUAACUAAGGGAGUCUACUUUGGCCUUCUUUGUUAUAUCACAUGAAUCAUUAUAUGGAUAUAUGUGUAAAUGUCAACCAUACAAGCUAGUCAAAGUUCUUGUAGUUAUUGCAGUAUUGCCUAUGGCAAUCUUAAUUCCAUUUGUUUUUCCCAAAAAUGAGUCAUUCUCACCCAUGCUCCCUAGUCACACAAUAGGGUCCUCAUUGAAUGUGACAUGUUGGAUUCUACUUCCCCUUAUGGGUCCUUAAAGGUUCUCAUUUAUGUACGAGUGUGUGUAGAUGAAGACUUUAAUGUGACCUUGGACUUCCUAAGGAAACAAGAUUUUGGCUAUUAGUAAAGAUUCGAACAUGAAACUCUCCCAUAUUUUGCGUUAAGGUUGGGGGUGGAGAGAUGGGUGACUCGAGUGGAUGAAUUCCAGUUGGUCAUAGCCUAUCAACUUGCAAUUAAGAAAAUGGUCUAACCAUCUUGGAUUGUAUUUCUGUCAAUGCGGAAUUAAAUUUUACCCAAAGUUCAUUAUGUGGAGUCGCUUUAUAAAAUUUUUUCACUUCAAACUAGGUGUUGGAUUGGAUGAUUUUCUACAGGCCAUGGAGGAAGAAGACAUAUAUGGAAAAAUUAUGAGAUAUGUUGAUGAGAGAUUUCAUUUUUCCUGGAAUAUGCUAAUAUGGUUUUUAAAUUAAUUAAAUAAAUAAAUUAAACUAUUAAAAUGUCAUGUGGAAAUCAAAAUUCAAUCAAAAAAGUAAUUAUUAUUAUUUUUUUUUUUUAAGGUAAAGAACCAAAAGGGAAUUAAAAGGAUUAAACGGGUGUAAAUGAAAUAAUAUAAUAUAUGCUUCAGAUUAGGUUUACUAGUCUCAAGUAGUGCAUAUAUUGCUGACCUUCGCAAAAGAUAAAAUAUUAACCAAGGUGUAUUAAAAGAAUACAUAACUUAUCAAUGAUUCAGUUAGCUCAAACAGAUAUAAUAGCAUCGUGUAACAAAAAUCUCCCAACUAGAGGCCCCAUCUUUUGUUUCUAGGAAUCAUGAACAUAUUUUUGAAGCGCUAAAAUAAUAAAGCUGCAAUUUCUAGGAAAGAGAACUUCCUUCUAUUGGAGCUUUUAGGUGUGAACUUGCGAAGUUGUGAACCAAAAGGUAUUGCCUAUCUUAUUUAAAAAAAAAUUGUGAAUCAAUUUUGCUCAAUUACCAAAUUGAUGUAGGUUAGAAAUGACGAAAAUACAGGUGAGAGAAGGAAUUAGGUGAGAAAAAAAAAAGUAGAAAUUGGAAGAUAAAUAUAUAUAGGAAAGUAUAGAGAGAAUAAAGAAAAGUUGCAAAUUGAAUUAAUAAUUUUCAAUGGCUACAAGUUACAUACUUUUUAUAAACAAUUGAAGAAACUUAAGGGAAAUAUGAUACCAAUAAAAAUACUAGCUAAAAUUUGAAAAUUAAAGUGAUAUGAAAAAAUGUUCUAACUUUGAUAAGAAUAAUCUCAAAGUACAUGAAUCUCUCUUAGCACCUACAUUUUUGGGCUAUAUAUAAUAAACUUGAAAUUGAUGGUCAUGAUCCUUAUCACUCAUAUUCCCCCUCAACCCCCUACUACUUAAACCAACUCUCAAAGGCCUUUAGGAUGAUACAUUCAUUUUAUUAAUCUAAUGUAUCAAAGAAACUAUUUCUUAUCCAUGUACAUGAUAGAGUUAAAAAAAUUUCUUACUUGAUAAUAUUUGCUCACCCAAACAAUUUUCUAUACUAUUAUUCCCACUUAUUUUCUGCUAUUUGAUCCAUAUCUGGAAUUGUCCUACUUGGUUUCAAUACAAACACUUAAAAAUAAAUUUUCCAAGCUAAUAAAAAUCCCAUUUUCUAGGUCUAAUUCACAGAAAAUUUAUUCAUGAUUGGUCAAAUCACAUAUCCUUUCAGUCGAUCUAUAGCUACAAUAUAUUUUGUGUUAUGAUAUUGAUUAAAAUCUGUGUCCCAGGGCAUUAUGUUCCUCAGCUAAGCCAAGCAAUUGUAAGGUACAAUUUCGCAACAAAGGCAAAGUCAAUUAAUCUAAAGGGUUACAUGGUAAGGUUCUCUUUCUAUUCAAUAUAAAAAUUAGAUAGCCAUUUUGCAUUACCAGCAGAAAGAAUUGACAAACCAAGAUAUCUGUGAUGAAGGUGGGAAAUGCUCUGACCGAUGAUUUCCAUGACCACUUGGGGUUAUUCCAGUUUAUGUGGUCAGUUGGUAUGAUUUCUGAUCAAACAUACAAGCUACUGAAUGUGUUUUGCGACUCCCAAUCAUUUAUACUGUCCUCAGAGUUGUGUGAUAAGAUUAUGGACAUUGCUAGAGAGGAAAUUGGAAACAUUGACCUAUACAGCAUUUUUACUCCUCCCUGCAGUGUCAAAAUUGGAUUUUCGAAUCAGCUGAUGAAAAAAUUGAUUGUGAGUCACAAGUCUUGAACUAUCUAGCUACUUUCAUAGUGUAUUGAAGCUCUCAUUUUAUUUUGACUAAAGUAAUUUUCAUGUUUAGGCAUGUUUUUCAUAUAAUAUAGGGACAUUUAGAAAAACCCCACCCUAAAUCUGGCCAAUUGACUCACUAAAUUUCUCGAAUGAUUUAAGCAUGUUUAUCUCUGCCAUUACUUUAUCUAAACCUUCAUAGUUUAAUUUGAGUUUUAUUUGUAAACACUUAGCCUUGAAUGGAAGUUCAGAACUUGCUUCAGAAGAAAUCUUCUAAAAAAAAUAGUUGUGACUUUUGAAAUGAUUUUAUCAUAUUAUUAAUAAAUGUAAUGUCAUCUGAUAGAUGGCCAGUGGCAUCAGUCGGAAGUAUGAUCCAUGCACAGAGCAGCACUCAGCUGUGUACUACAAUCUACCUGAGGUUCAACAAGCACUUCAUGUUUAUGUUGAUAAUGCAACAUUUAAAUGGGCAACCUGCAGGUAUAGCUCUUUCUGAAGAAAUAUUCAGAUACCAUUACGAACACUGCAUCCUUAGAUUGCAAAGAUAACGCAUACUAACAAAAGAAUUCCAU
This 25612-nucleotide long non-coding RNA is filed under the name Vitis vinifera (wine grape). Its description in RNAcentral is "long non-coding RNA (VVIN_LNC003480)". The record is from RNAcentral. Lineage: Eukaryota; Viridiplantae; Streptophyta; Magnoliopsida; Vitales; Vitaceae.